GGGGCUGUAGUCUAACCAGGUAGGACGGCCGGCUCCAGACCGGCUAAUCUGGGUUCAAAUCCCAGCAGCCCCA
This 73-nucleotide transfer RNA is filed under the name Candidatus Aenigmatarchaeota archaeon. RNAcentral's name for it is "tRNA-Trp". It matches the Rfam family "tRNA". From Rfam's summary of the family: Transfer RNA (tRNA) molecules are approximately 80 nucleotides in length. Their secondary structure includes four short double-helical elements and three loops (D, anti-codon, and T loops). Lineage: Archaea; Nanobdellati; Candidatus Aenigmatarchaeota. The record is from RNAcentral.